RNAcentral lists this ribosomal RNA (447 nucleotides) under uncultured bacterium. RNAcentral's name for it is "bacterial SSU rRNA". It matches the Rfam family "Bacterial small subunit ribosomal RNA", at positions 28 to 471 of the family's 1533-position model. The record is from RNAcentral.
GACGAACGUUGGCGGCGUGCUUAAUACAUGCAAGUCAACUGAAGCACCGGUAGUAAUACUGGUGUGGAGGUGGCGCACGGUGAGUAACACGUAGGUAAUCUGCCUUCAGGUCUGACGUAACCCCGAGAAAUCGGGGCUAAUAGCAGAUGAUGCAGCGGCUUGACAUCAAGACAGUUGUUAAAGCUUCGGGCGCCUGAAGAUGAGCCUGCGUCUGAUUAGCUAGUUGGCGGAGUAAUGGCCCACCAAGGCUACGAUCAGUAACUGGUCUGAGAGGAUGAUCAGUCACACUGGAACUGAGACACGGUCCAGACUCCUACGGGAGGCAGCAGUAAGGAAUAUUGCUCAAUGGGAGAAAUCCUGAAGCAGCAAACGCCGCGUGAGGGAUGAAGGGCUUUUGCUCGUAAACCUCUGUAGUGAGGGAAAAAAUUUCCAACUCUGUGGAAUAUG